AGUUUGCUUACCAAGUUCUAAGGCCUUACUGAUUUCCAUCAACUUGUUCUAUCCAUUAUUGAGAGACGAGUGUUAUAGUCAGCAACUAUAAUUGUAAAUAUGUCUAUUUCUCCUUUUAGUUCUAUCAGUUUUUGCUUUAAGGCAUCAAGCUCUGUUUUUGUUUGUGUAUUUUUAAACUCUGUUACUAGGUGCAUAACUGUUUAGGAUUGUGGCUGGGCGCGGUGGCUCACGCCUGUAAUCCCAGCACUUUGGGAGGCCAAGGUGGGCGGAUCACCUGAGGUCAGGUGUUUGAGACCAGCCUGGCCAGCAUAGUGAAACCCCCUCUCUACUAAAAAUACAAAAAAAAAAAAAAUUAGCCGGGCGUGGUAGAAGGCGCCUCUAAUCCCAGCUACUCAGGAGGCUGAGGCAGGAAAACUGCUGGAACCUGGGAGGCGGAGGUUGCAGUGAGCCAAGAUUACACCACUGUGCUCCAGCCUGGGCAACAGAGCAAGAUUCCAUCUAAAAACAAACAAACAAAAAAAACACACAAAGAAUUGUUAUACCCUCUUCAUCAAUUUACUCCUUUAGAAUUAUGAAAGACCUUUUCAUCAUUUUGAUCUGAAAUCUACUUUUUCUAAUAUGAAUACAGCUACUCCAGCUUUCUUUUGAUUAGUGUGAACAUGGUAUAUCUUUUCCCGUACUUUCUCAGAGCCGUCUGUUCUCAGGCCAAGCUCGCUUCCUACUCUGCCAUAAGGUGAGCCACCUCUACCUGCCUGGAGAUCAACCUGCGGUCAUCCAGUUCCACCAGUGCCUGGCUGGAGCUAUAAGUUGGUGCUGUUUGCCAGGGUUGGUGUCUACAGAGGGCCAGGGGAAUUCCAAGCGAGGGAAGCAAGGAGAACUUCUUGGACUCCUCAAGUUCUACCAGAAGGCAGUGCUAUGGUGUGCCCAACCCUCCCAGGGGCCUAAAUGGCCACCCUCUUGGGAAUGCCCAAAGCAUCUGCUAUUUAGGACUUGGUUACAGAGCGCCAUCAGCUUCCCCAAGGUUUGUUUUAUUUGCCACCAAACUGCCUGCCCACAACAUGUGGCACUCAGGACAUCCAGGUGUGUGCCGCAGGGCAUCAGGGAGAUAAAUUAUGCUUAUGUGCCUGGGACAACAGCCUCAACUGAUCACUCAGCUUUGAAUAACACCUGGCUACCUUGAGGACUGUGAGCCCUGCUGACCAUGGAAGUGGGAAAGGGAAAUAUUUCUGGUGAUGGCUCACCAGUUACAAUUGGCAAAGCAACCUUGAGAGGAUUAAAGUGACCCUUAGAGGAAGCGCGAGAGGUUAUGAUCAUCCCCAAAUAGGUGUGGCACCUGCUAUGAACAAGCUGUCAUGUUAAGUGCCCUGGGAAUAAAACACAGGUGCAAAAGUCUCUGCCCUCGAGGACCAUACGAAAAGACUGGCUGGAGAAAUAAUGAUGUAUAUGAGAGCAAUAGCCCUAACCAAGGUAACAUAUGAUAAAUACACAGGAGAUAUAUAGAAGAAAGCUCACUUCUGACAAGGCAGAUGUGGGAAAAAGAGGUUUGAGCUUCCCCCAGUCUCUCUUGACUCACUGUGUGAAUGAAUCAAUCUGUAAAUGGCCCUUGAGGGAUCUCUGGAUAAGAUUUCAACAGGUACAGAGGAGAAAUUAGGGCAUAUGGUUAGAAGGGAGAAAGAUAGGGUGGGGAGGGAAAAACCCAAGAUGUGACGAAUAGAAAACACAUUUUAUUUGGAGAGAGGAAGAGCUUGAGCACACACGUAGACAAGACUAUGGCGGAGGGCUCAUUUAGGGAGCUAGUGGAUGGAAAGCCUGGAAGGUAGAUUAAAUGACCCAUCUCAAGGGUCAUGGGGAGCCAUUGGCAUUUUGUUAGAUUAGUAAGAGUGACACCCAAUUUGUUCUUUGGGAAUAUUAUUGUGGUAGAGCAUGGGUUGGUGGAGGAAGAAAUUAGAGAAAGGAAACCAGUUGGGCAGCUAUUGCAAUAGCCAGGCAAAGACUAAUGAAGGCCUGAUGAGGGCUGUGGUGAUGAGAAUGGGAGAGAGGCAAAGGAUGAAAGAGGUAUUUUGGAAAUACAGUGGCCAUAGCCCGGCAGCUAGUUGGAUAUAGAGGGCCAGAGAGAGAACUGGAAGAUGAACUUAAUGUGAUAGAGAGGGGAGGUGCCACCAACCAAGGCUGAGUUGCUGGUUUUGAGGGAAU
RNAcentral lists this long non-coding RNA (2193 nucleotides) under Pan paniscus (pygmy chimpanzee). Its description in RNAcentral is "lncRNA (ENSPPAG00000044915.1)". Lineage: Eukaryota; Metazoa; Chordata; Mammalia; Primates; Hominidae. The record is from RNAcentral.